RNAcentral lists this ribosomal RNA (253 nucleotides) under uncultured bacterium. Its description in RNAcentral is "partial 16S ribosomal RNA". It matches the Rfam family "Bacterial small subunit ribosomal RNA", at positions 524 to 776 of the family's 1533-position model. The record is from RNAcentral.
UACAGAGGCCUCGAGCGUUAGGCGGAAUCACUGGGCUUAAAGCGUGUGUAGGUGGAUGCCUAAGUACCUUGUGAAAUCCCAUGGCUUAACCAUGGAAUUGCUUGGUAUACUGGGUGUCUUGAGCCACUCAGGGGCGAGCGGAACAAACGGUGGAGCGGUGAAAUGCGUAGAUAUCGUUUGGAACGCCAAUGGUGAAAACAGCUCGCUGGGGGUGCGCUUACACUGAGACACGAAAGCCAGGGGAGCAAACGGG